CGAACGGGUGAGUAACGCGUGAGGAACCUGCCUCAAAGAGGGGGACAACAGUUGGAAACGACUGCUAAUACCGCAUAAGCCCACGGCUCGGCAUCGAGCAGAGGGAAAAGGAGCAAUCCGCUUUGAGAUGGCCUCGCGCCCGAUUAGCUAGUGGUGAGGUAACGGCCCACCAAGGCGACGAUCGGUAGCCGGACUGGGAGGUUGAACGGCCACAUUGGGACUGAGACACGGCCCAG
RNAcentral lists this ribosomal RNA (236 nucleotides) under uncultured bacterium. RNAcentral's name for it is "partial 16S ribosomal RNA". It matches the Rfam family "Bacterial small subunit ribosomal RNA", at positions 99 to 334 of the family's 1533-position model. The record is from RNAcentral.